UGACAGGAAGGAAUUUUCGUGUCACUAGAGAAAUUAAAGAUUUUUAAAUAAUGUAUUUGAUGCUGUGAAAAUAGUUUGAAUUUAAUCGGAUAAAUAGUAUCUCUUGAGCGCAUUGGAACCAUACUAUACAAAAGGAUACCAUUAUGAUGCAGAAAUAAAACAUAUAGCGAAACGGGUCAGCUUUAUAUCGAAGAAAUGCAAGAAUCGCCAAAUUAUGUUAAAUUUCUUGCAAUUCAUGUUUCGCCGGAUGGAGAGAUAGAUGAAAAUAUUGAAGUUAUUUCGACUCAGUAUGAGGUUAUUGAUGCAUCAAAGCCAGCACUAAGAAAACACCGGAAGUCAAUUUUAGACGAUUUGAAAAUUUUUCAUGAUGAAGCGGCUAGGAAAAGACUUGCCCGUGGAAUCAUGCUCAUUGGGAGUAUUUUUAUUUUGCUCAGUGGAAUUUUACUGAUAGUUUCAUUAAAUAUGUCAAAGGACAUCGACGAAGUAGUGCGAAACUCCAAUGAAUUCCUGCGAAAUAAAGUCCACAAGUCAACGCCGGCGCCAAAACAGUCAAUAGAUAUUACAGAUUACAACACGACGUUAAGUUGACAGAACACAACACUGUAAAGGAAUGUUCAUAGUCGUUUCUCAGGGGAUAAAACGGCAUUAUACUACGAACUAAAAUAUGCAAAGCAUAGCAUUGGUGAUUUUUCGACCGAAAAUAUGAUAAGAAAUACAAAUAAUUGAGAUCUAAAUAAUCAUGAGAUGUGAUUGCCAAUAUUUUACAUUAGAUCGAUCUGUAUUGAUGUGUAAUAAAUGGUUUUGUUUUCGCAAACAAUUGAAGCAUUAUCGAAAAAAGCAAAACUGAUAGAUAGAGUUAUCAUAGUUUUACAAUGAAAAAUUAUAUUAUUCAUAUCUUAAACAUGUAUGUGUAUCUUUAAAAUGUUUCAACAGAAAAAUCACUGUUAAAGAAGCAUUCAGUCCAUUGAAGCCUAUGAUAACAUAUACCGAACAUAAUAAACUUGAUUAUUUUCCUAUAGAUCAGACUCAGAGAGUGCUAUAACGCCGACUGUAAAGGUAUCAAAAGCGGUUUAAAUCUAAUAAUAAAACAUCAAUAGUCAUUCUACAUUAACUUUUGGAAGAUACAAAUAAAUGAAAAUGUAUUUGUGAAUUUCAGCUCCGAACAUCUAAAUACCACAGAUUGUAUAUGUAUAUUUUGGCAUUCUUUAUGUUUUUUACAGGUUUUUUUUAAUUCUCAUCUCCUUUGUUAACGAGUUUACUGUAUAUAUUCAGUGACCAUAGUGCAAAUGGUAAAUAAUCAAUGAGAUCAAGUAUCGUGACAAAAAAAGCAUAAGGGGAGACACAGGGUGCUUAUUUCCAAAACUCUGGGGUAUUUUUUGCAUUUUCAUCCCAUUUCCCAUUUUUUCCUUGUUUGUUCAAGUUUCCACCUUUUUUGCUCAUGUUAAUUAAUCUCUUACGUAAUAUCCUUUCACUUUUCUAAAAAUAAAAUUAAAUAUGAUGAUUAUGUAUUGCCAUAGAUAUUAUUUUUUGGCUAUAUGAGUCAGUAUACUAUUUUCAAGUCUAGCGUUCAAAGUUUUAAACCUGGUUUUUUUGUAAUAUUGAUUUAAGCAAAUAAAAACGUACCUUAGUAUUGAAAAGUAAAAUAUCAAAAAUAACGAAAUCCAAAGGAAACCCAAAUCCCUCAUCAAAUAGCAAAAUCGAAAGCUCAAACACAUCAAACACAUCGAACAAAUGGAAGACUACUGUCAUAUUCUUGGCAUUUUCCUUUUAUAGAAAAAGUGGAUUAAAUCUGGUUUUGUAGCUAGCUAUACCUCUCACUUGUAAACAGUAGCAUAAAGUUCCAUUAUAUUGACAACAUUGUAUAAACAAACCAAUCAGACAUGAUAGAUAACAUUCUCAAGAAUAGUAAAACAGCAAUCAACAUUGUAUGAUAAUUUUAUUCACAAUGAUAACAAACACAUAUGUCAACAAAAGCACAUAAGCACAAAAUGAAUAUAAAAAAUAAGUAUAUGUGCUUUUAAUACAGAGCGAAGACCCGGAUGAGUAACAAAAUAACUGAAAUUAUAAACAUAAAUAGUGACACCCAUGCAAUAUUAUUAAGUUAAACAGUAUUGAUCUGAUGUAUAGCAUGUAUAAAGUAUUUCUAACAGGAUUACUUUAUUUAUAGUUGCAUGUUUGUGAAAGGGUUUUCCAAAGAAUAGCAAUAAGCGAAAUACAUUUUAUAGUUGUUUGUUACAUAUAUUUUUCUUGUUGUUCAGUUAAGGGUUAUAGUUAUCUGUUCAAUAAAAAUGAAGAUAGUA
This is an RNA transcript of Mytilus trossulus (common blue mussel), 2300 nucleotides long. RefSeq lists it as uncharacterized. The record is from RefSeq and is a predicted model, not a curated record. NCBI's taxonomy places the organism in Eukaryota, Metazoa, Mollusca, Bivalvia, Mytilida, Mytilidae. The transcript is spliced from 2 exons.